Molecule: non-coding RNA, 46 nt
Organism: Picea glauca (white spruce)
Lineage: Eukaryota; Viridiplantae; Streptophyta; Pinopsida; Pinales; Pinaceae
Source: Rfam
GUAACGGUGUCUUUAGACACCACCUUUUAUCUUUGAAACUUAUCCU